AACGCACAUUGCGCCCCGUGGUAUUCCGCGGGGCAUGCCUGUUCGAGCGUCAUUUCAACCUUCAAGCUCUGCUUGGUAUCGGGCUCAACCAUAUGGUGGGCCUUAGAAACAGUGGCGGUGCUGCCUGGCACUAAGCGUAGUAAAACUUCUCGCUAUAGUUGUUAGACAGUGCUAAGCUAAGCUCUACUCUCUAUAUUUGACCUCGGAUCAGGUAGGGAUACCCGCUGAACUUAA
This 234-nucleotide unclassified non-coding RNA is filed under the name uncultured fungus. RNAcentral describes it as "sequence contains ITS2". The stretch from base 1 to 52 matches the Rfam family "5.8S ribosomal RNA", at positions 103 to 154 of the family's 154-position model. The record is from RNAcentral. Lineage: Eukaryota; Fungi.